RNAcentral lists this ribosomal RNA (430 nucleotides) under uncultured bacterium. Its description in RNAcentral is "partial 16S ribosomal RNA". It matches the Rfam family "Bacterial small subunit ribosomal RNA", at positions 30 to 506 of the family's 1533-position model. The record is from RNAcentral.
AACGAACGCUGGCGGCAGGCUUAACACAUGCAAGUCGAACGCCCCGCAAGGGGAGUGGCAGACGGGUGAGUAACGCGUGGGAACAUACCCUUUUCUACGGAAUAGCUCUGGGAAACUGGAAUUAAUACCGUAUACGCCCUACGGGGGAAAGAUUUAUCGGGGAAGGAUUGGCCCGCGUUGGAUUAGCUAGUUGGUGGGGUAAAGGCCUACCAAGGCGACGAUCCAUAGCUGGUCUGAGAGGAUGAUCAGCCACAUUGGGACUGAGACACGGCCCAAACUCCUGGGGGGGGGAGCAGGGGGGAAAAAGGAAAAAGGGGGGAGAGACGAAUCCAGCCGGGCCGGGAAGGUGGUGAAGGCGUUAAGAUUAUAAGGCUUUUUACACGAUGAAGUUAAGAAGGGAAGGAGGGAAAAAGCCCCGGGCAAACUUGGU